GUCUACGGCUAUACCACCCUGAACACGCCCGAUCUCGUCUGAUCUCGGGAGCUAAGCAGGGUCGGGCUUGGUUAGUACUUGGCUAGGAGGAGACUUUCUGUGAAAGAAGUUGUCUCAAUAC
RNAcentral lists this ribosomal RNA (121 nucleotides) under Erinaceus europaeus (western European hedgehog). Lineage: Eukaryota; Metazoa; Chordata; Mammalia; Eulipotyphla; Erinaceidae. The record is from RNAcentral.